GAUUAGAGUUUGAUCCUGGCUCAGAUUGAACGCUGGCGGCAUGCCUUACACAUGCAAGUCGAACGGCAGCACGGGAGCAAUCCUGGUGGCGAGUGGCGAACGGGUGAGUAAUAUAUCGGAACGUACCUUUCAGUGGGGGAUAACGUAGCGAAAGUUACGCUAAUACCGCAUAUUCUGUGAGCAGGAAAGCAGGGGAUCUUCGGACCUUGCGCUGAUUGAGCGGCCGAUAUCAGAUUAGCUAGUUGGUGAGGUAAAGGCUCACCAAGGCGACGAUCUGUAGCGGGUCUGAGAGGAUGAUCCGCCACACUGGAACUGAGACACGGUCCAGACUCCUACGGGAGGCAGCAGUGGGGAAUUUUGGACAAUGGGGGCAACCCUGAUCCAGCCAUGCCGCGUGAGUGAAGAAGGCCUUCGGGUUGUAAAGCUCUUUCAGCCGGGAAGAAAACGCAUGGGUUAAUACCCUGUGUGGAUGACGGUACCG
This 481-nucleotide ribosomal RNA is filed under the name uncultured bacterium. RNAcentral's name for it is "bacterial SSU rRNA". It matches the Rfam family "Bacterial small subunit ribosomal RNA", at positions 1 to 480 of the family's 1533-position model. The record is from RNAcentral.